AGAGACCUGGACCAGGGCUCAGAAUGUCUAAUGUGCAAAAUCUGGUGUGAGCUGCAUUAAUAUCGUAGUAUCUUUAGGUGGCAAAGCCCAAAAAGGGGAAGUAAAAAAUGUCUCCAAAGGCAAUCCUAUCUCUAAAAAUUACCCAGCUUUUUAACGCACUUCCACAGACUUGAAGCAGCUGGUAUCACUGGAUAAAAGAGAGCAUUGUACUAAAGAGCCGGGGAAAGUCCGACACCCGCCCUUCCUCGUUGCCAGAGGCCUCCAGUUAUACACGGCAAUUGACCACAGUGGAUGCCAGUACUUCAUCGGACUCUCCGUCGCAAAGAACGCCCUCGAGCUUGUGUCCAAGGCGACUGAUAGGAAAGGAAAGAAAUCAGAUGCUCGUGAGGAUAAGGAAAAAAGUUUUGGCAUCUCAGCUCCAGGAACCACUAUAAAAGCAUGAAGUCAAUGUAACCCAAAUCCAAUGAAGUGUGACUAGGAAGACUUCAGCUUAAUUAACUAAUUAAGAAGGAAUGCAUAAAGACCCCGGAGCUUUGAGACGAAAGGCAUUAUAGCAAGGCAAAAGUGCAUUACGGAUCUCUAAGUCAUGAGUGGACGCAAUACUGA
Molecule: long non-coding RNA, 606 nt
Organism: Ornithorhynchus anatinus (platypus)
Lineage: Eukaryota; Metazoa; Chordata; Mammalia; Monotremata; Ornithorhynchidae
Exons: 3
Source: RefSeq, a predicted model, not a curated record